CAGUCGCCGCGGGAAUACGAAGGGGGCUAGCGUUGUUCGGAUUUACCGGGCGUAAAGGGCGCGUAGGCGGACUGAUAAGUCAGGGGUGAAAUCCCAAGGCUCAACCUUGGAACUGCCUUUGAUACUGUUUGUCUUGAGUUCGAGAGAGGUAAGUGGAACUGCGAGUGUAGAGGUGAAAUUCGUAGAUAUUCGCAAGAACACCAGUGGCGAAGGCGGCUUACUGGCUCGAAACUGACGCUGAGGCUCGAAAGCGUGGGGAGCAAAUGGGAUUAGAGACCCCCGUAGUCCCUGUCUCUUAUAC
This 301-nucleotide ribosomal RNA is filed under the name uncultured bacterium. RNAcentral describes it as "partial 16S ribosomal RNA". It matches the Rfam family "Bacterial small subunit ribosomal RNA", at positions 509 to 807 of the family's 1533-position model. The record is from RNAcentral.